AUGAGCACCCUAGGAGUGGAAUCUUCAACUUUUGAGGGCAAAUAUUUGGGGUUGCCAACACCGGAGGGGAGAAUGAAAGAUGAGAACUUCCAACCGAUCUUGGACAAAUUUGGAAAGAGAUGUAAUAACUGGAAUGAAAGAUUCAUGUCCCAAGCGGCAAAAGAAGUCCAUGUUAAAUCAAUUGUACAAUCCUUGCCAAUUUACGUCAUGGGGGUUUUCAAGCUCAACCAAAGCUUCUGUGAUAAGUAUGAAAAAAUGAUCAGAGACUUUUGGUGGGGAGACAAGGAUGAACAUAGAAAAGUUCAUUGGAUGUCAUGGGAGAAUAUGACAAAACCUAAGAGGGAUGGAGGCAUAGGUUUCCGAGAUAUGCAUUAUUUCAACCAAGCGCUGCUAGCUAGGCAGGGAUGGAGGCUGCUGCAAUCCCCGAACAGCUUGUGUGCCCGGGUCCUAAAAUCUAAAUACUACCCCAAUGGUGAAUUACUGAAUACCGUAUUCUCCUCGGAUGCUUCCCCCGCGUGGCGAGGGAUUGAAUUUGGACUCGAGCUUCUGAAAAAGGGACUCAUCUGGAGAGUGGGCAGCGGAAGGAAAAUCCAAAUUGAGAGAGACCAAUGGAUUCCACGAGACGAAGGCCUAAAAACUGCGCAUUUCAUAAGCCGCUCCAGACUGAGAUGGGUCAACCAAUUAAUGCUUUCGGACACAAAAGAAUGGAACGUCGACCUCAUAAGGAGAAUUUUCCAUGCUUUUGAUGCAGACAAAAUCUGCAAAAUCCGAAUCCCCUCUGCUGAAGUAGAGGAUUGUGUGGCUUGGCACUAUGAAAAGUCUGGUGUCUUCACUGUCAGGAGCGCCUACAAACUUGGCGUCACUCUAAGUAGAAAUGGAAGGGAGGCCCCCUCUAGCUCGUCGAGUGAACCCGGGAACAAAAGCAUUUGGGAUGUCAUAUGGAAAGCAAACAUUCCAGAGAAAACAAAAAAAUUUGGGUGGAGAGUGGCGACCCAAACGUUGGCAACAAAACACAACACCUUCAGAAGGACUAUUGUGAAGGAAGACAUAUGUGAUUAUGUGGAACGGAGAGUGAAGAUGAGUUCCAUGCAGUUGUUUCAUGCACAAGAAGCAGGGCGUUGA
Molecule: ribosomal RNA, 1122 nt
Filed under: Triticum aestivum (bread wheat)
Lineage: Eukaryota; Viridiplantae; Streptophyta; Magnoliopsida; Poales; Poaceae
Description: partial small subunit ribosomal RNA
Source: RNAcentral